GGGCCCUUCGUUCAAUGGAUAAGACGCACCUCUGCGGAGGGUGAGAUUCAGGUUCAAUUCCUGAAGGGCCCA
RNAcentral lists this transfer RNA (72 nucleotides) under Nitrosopumilales archaeon CG_4_9_14_0_8_um_filter_34_10. RNAcentral's name for it is "tRNA-Arg". It matches the Rfam family "tRNA". From Rfam's summary of the family: Transfer RNA (tRNA) molecules are approximately 80 nucleotides in length. Their secondary structure includes four short double-helical elements and three loops (D, anti-codon, and T loops). Further hydrogen bonds mediate the characteristic L-shaped molecular structure. tRNAs have two regions of fundamental functional importance: the anti-codon, which is responsible for specific mRNA codon recognition, and the 3' end, to which the tRNAs corresponding amino acid is attached (by aminoacyl-tRNA synthetases). tRNAs cope with the degeneracy of the genetic code in two manners: having more than one tRNA (with a specific anti-codon) for a particular amino acid; and 'wobble' base-pairing, i.e. permitting non-standard base-pairing at the 3rd anti-codon position. The record is from RNAcentral. Lineage: Archaea; Thermoproteati; Nitrososphaerota; Nitrososphaeria; Nitrosopumilales.